GCACUGCUGAUGAGUCCCAAACAAGACGAAACAACUGUCCAGUGC
Molecule: non-coding RNA, 45 nt
Organism: Echinostoma caproni
Lineage: Eukaryota; Metazoa; Platyhelminthes; Trematoda; Plagiorchiida; Echinostomatidae
Source: Rfam